This 293-nucleotide long non-coding RNA is filed under the name Mytilus galloprovincialis (Mediterranean mussel). The record is from RNAcentral. Lineage: Eukaryota; Metazoa; Mollusca; Bivalvia; Mytilida; Mytilidae.
GUUGUGAAAGGUUGAGCAAACUAUACCCACUAAUGCUUUGAUAAUAGUUCUUGUAAAUUUGUAUGUCUUUUAUAAGCUAUAAUAGGCUGGCGAUUAAAUAUGUUCAAACAAUUAGGGUUUAAUGAAAUAAGGUUCCAGUGUUUUGUAAUUAUAUUUUUCAGUUUCUGUAUAGAUGGGUUGAAUUUUGUUAACUUAACUAGUGGUUGUUCCCGUUUCGUUUGGCGUUGUAUAAGCAGGUUUUUCCUUUCUAUAUUUUGUGUUUGAUUAAAAAUUUCGUUGAUUUCAGAUAUUUU